This 41-nucleotide non-coding RNA is filed under the name Rhodosorus marinus. The record is from RNAcentral. Lineage: Eukaryota; Rhodophyta; Stylonematophyceae; Stylonematales; Stylonemataceae.
GGGAUAGCUGGGACAGGCUAUUGCAUCACGAUGGAUGGUUU